This 70-nucleotide transfer RNA is filed under the name Tylototriton kweichowensis (red-tailed knobby newt). Its description in RNAcentral is "tRNA-Gln". It matches the Rfam family "tRNA". From Rfam's summary of the family: Transfer RNA (tRNA) molecules are approximately 80 nucleotides in length. Their secondary structure includes four short double-helical elements and three loops (D, anti-codon, and T loops). The record is from RNAcentral. Lineage: Eukaryota; Metazoa; Chordata; Amphibia; Caudata; Salamandridae.
UAAAAAGUGGUGUAGAGGAAGCACGAAGGGUUUUGAUCUCCUCGGGGUAGGUUCCAGUCCUAUUUUUUUA